GAGUUGAUCAUGGCUCAGACGAACGCUGGCGGCAUGGAUUAGGCAUGCAAGUCGAACGGGAGCAGCAAUGCUCCAGUGGCGCAAGGGUGAGGAACACGUGAACAACCUGCCUUCGAGUUGGGGAUAGCUUACUGGAAACGGGAGAUAAUACCGAAUAACAUCACCGGAUCGCAUGAUCUGAUGAUCAAAGCAGCAAUGCGCUUGAAGAGGGGUUCGCGUCCCAUUAGCUAGUUGGUGAGGUAACGGCCCACCAAGGCGAUGACGGGUAGCUGGUCUGAGAGGACGAUCAGCCACAUUGGGACUGAGAUACUGCCCAGACUCCUACGGGAGGCUGCAGUCGAGAAUUUUGGGCAAUGGACGAAAGUCUGACCCAAGCAAUGCCGCGUGCGGGAUGAAGGUCUUCGGAUUGUAAACCGCUGUCAAGAGGGACGAAACAUGACGGUACCUCUGGAGGAAGCCACGGCUAACUACGUGCCAGCCGCAGC
Molecule: ribosomal RNA, 485 nt
Filed under: uncultured bacterium
Lineage: Bacteria
Description: bacterial SSU rRNA
Rfam family: Bacterial small subunit ribosomal RNA
Source: RNAcentral